RNAcentral lists this unclassified non-coding RNA (89 nucleotides) under Pseudomonas gessardii. The record is from RNAcentral. Lineage: Bacteria; Pseudomonadati; Pseudomonadota; Gammaproteobacteria; Pseudomonadales; Pseudomonadaceae.
UGUGGGAGCUGGCUUGCCUGCGAUAGCGGUGGGUCUGCCAACUCAUCAUUGACUGGUCUACCGCUAUCGCAGGCAAGCCAGCUCCUACA